AAUAAGAUUGUUUUUCAGUUUUUUGAUACAAUGUUUUAACUCUUCAUCUUAUUUGAAAUUUUUUGUAAUUAAUAUUUUUAUUCUUAUUCUUACUAGAUGAUAAAAUAUGAAUAAUACUUUAUGCGUGACUAAAUUUUUAAAUUUUUAAAGUUUUUUAAAUAAGACGAAUGGUUAAACGCUGGACACGGAAAAAC
Molecule: microRNA precursor, 194 nt
Filed under: Oryza brachyantha (malo sina)
Lineage: Eukaryota; Viridiplantae; Streptophyta; Magnoliopsida; Poales; Poaceae
Description: MIR812 microRNA precursor family
Rfam family: MIR812 microRNA precursor family
Source: Rfam by way of RNAcentral